UACGUAGGGGGCAAGCGUUGUCCGGAUUCAUUGGGCGUAAAGAGCGUGUAGGCGGCCAGGUAGGUCGGUUGUGAAAACUGGAGGCUCAACCUUCAGAGGUCGACCGAAACCAUCUGGCUAGAGUCCGGGAGAGGAGAGUGGAAUUCCUGGUGUAGCGGUGAAAUGCGCAGAUAUCAGGAAGAACACCGGUGGCGAAGGCGGAGCUCUGGGCCAUUACUGACACUGAGAAGCGAAAGCAUGGGGAGCGAACAGG
RNAcentral lists this ribosomal RNA (253 nucleotides) under uncultured bacterium. RNAcentral's name for it is "partial 16S ribosomal RNA". It matches the Rfam family "Bacterial small subunit ribosomal RNA", at positions 524 to 776 of the family's 1533-position model. The record is from RNAcentral.